AUUGAACGCUGGCGGCAUGCCUUACACAUGCAAGUCGAACGGCAGCACGGGUGCUUGCACCUGGUGUCGAGUGGCGAACGGGUGAGUAAUACAUCGGAACUUACCUUAUCGUGGGGGAUAACGCAGCGAAAGUUGCGCUAAUACCUCAUACGCCCUGAGGGGGAAAGCUGGGGACCGUAAGGCCUCGCGCGAUUAGAGCGGCCGACGUCUGCUUUGCUUGUUGGUGAGGUAAAAGCGCACCAAGGCGAUGAUCAGUAGCUGGUCUGAGAGGACGAUCAGACACACGGGGACUGAGACACGGCCCAGACUCCUACGGGAGGCAGCAGUGGGGAAUUUUGGACAAUGGGGGCAACCCUGAUCCAGCAAUGCCGCGUGAGUGAAGAAGGCCUUCGGGUUGUAAAGCUCUCUUGUCAGGGAAGAAACAGCAGCUCUAACACAGUCUGCGAAUGACGGUACCUGAAGAAUAAGCACCGGCUAACUACGUGCCAGCAGCCGCGGUAA
RNAcentral lists this ribosomal RNA (501 nucleotides) under uncultured bacterium. Its description in RNAcentral is "partial 16S ribosomal RNA". It matches the Rfam family "Bacterial small subunit ribosomal RNA", at positions 30 to 523 of the family's 1533-position model. The record is from RNAcentral.